UCCAAUAACCUCACCAUUCUUGCCUUUUACCUCUCAAUUCAUCCAACUUUGUUAAUUUUCAAAGCUUCUUGAAAAGAAAAAAAGAAAAAAAAAAAAAGAGUAGAACUUAGUUGCAGAAUUUUUGAGAUACGGAGAACCCUAACAAAUCUAAGAGGCAAUAUCAUGAAAUUGAAACAAAGAAACUUAGACCACACGAAGAG
Molecule: long non-coding RNA, 200 nt
Filed under: Gossypium barbadense (sea-island cotton)
Lineage: Eukaryota; Viridiplantae; Streptophyta; Magnoliopsida; Malvales; Malvaceae
Description: long non-coding RNA (GBAR_LNC008174)
Source: RNAcentral